This 587-nucleotide ribosomal RNA is filed under the name uncultured bacterium. Its description in RNAcentral is "partial 16S ribosomal RNA". It matches the Rfam family "Bacterial small subunit ribosomal RNA", at positions 355 to 1375 of the family's 1533-position model. The record is from RNAcentral.
UGGGGAAUUUUGGACAAUGGGCGAAAGCCUGAUCCAGCAAUGCCGCGUGUGUGAAGAAGGCCUUCGGGUUGUAAAGCACUUUUGUCCGGAAAGAAAUCCUUGGCUCUAAUACAGUCGGGGGAUGACGGUACCGGAAGAAUAAGCACCGGCUAACUACGUGCCAGCAGCCGCGGUAAUACGUAGGGUGCAAGCGUUAAUCGGAAUUACUGGGCGUAAAGCGUGCGCAGGCGGUUUGCUAAGACCGAUGUGAAAUCCCCGGGCUCAACCUGGGAACUGCAUUGGUGACUGGCAGGCUAGAGUAUGGCAGAGGGGGGUAGAAUUCCACGUGUAGCAGUGAAAUGCGUAGAGAUGUGGAGGAAUACCGAUGGCGAAGGCAGCCCCCUGGGCCAAUACUGACGCUCAUGCACGAAAGCGUGGGGAGCAAAGCAGGAUUAGAUACCCUGGUAGUCCACGCCCUAAACGAUGUCAACUAGUUGUUGGGGAUUCAUUUCCUUAGUAACGUAGCUAACGCGUGAAGUUGACCGCCUGGGGGAGUACGGUCGCAAGAUUAAAACUCAAAGGAAUUGACGGGGUCAUAGCUGUUUCCU